GAUGAAGAACGCAGCGAAAUGCGAUAAGUAGUGUGAAUUGCAGAAUUCAGUGAAUCAUCGAAUCUUUGAACGCACAUUGCGCCCUUUGGUAUUCCUUAGGGCAUGCCUGUUCGAGCGUCAUUUGAAACCUCAAGCUCAGCUUGGUGUUGGGUGUCUGUCCCCGCCUCACCGCGGGGACUCGCCUCAAAAUCAUUGGCGGCCGGUACGUUGGCUUCGAGCGCAGCAGAAACGCGAACUCGAGGCCCGGCGGAUCGGCGACCAGAAGUCACUUCUUCACAGUUUGACCUCGGAUCAGGUAGGGAUACCCGCUGAACUUAAGCAUAUCCAAUAAGCGGAGGA
This 339-nucleotide unclassified non-coding RNA is filed under the name soil metagenome. RNAcentral's name for it is "partial contains 5.8S ribosomal RNA, internal transcribed spacer 2, and large subunit ribosomal RNA". The stretch from base 1 to 120 matches the Rfam family "5.8S ribosomal RNA", at positions 35 to 154 of the family's 154-position model. The record is from RNAcentral.